Molecule: ribosomal RNA, 253 nt
Filed under: uncultured bacterium
Lineage: Bacteria
Description: partial 16S ribosomal RNA
Rfam family: Bacterial small subunit ribosomal RNA
Source: RNAcentral
UACGAGGGGGGCAAGCGUUAAUCGGAAUUACUGGGCGUAAAGCGUGCGCAGGCGGUUUGUUAAGUCCGCUGUGAAAUCCCCGAGCUCAACUUGGGAAUUGCAGUGGAUACUGGCAAGCUGGAGUAUGGUAGAGGAAGGUGGAAUUCCCGGUGUAGCAGUGAAAUGCGUAGAGAUCGGGAGGAACACCAGUGGCGAAGGCGGCCUUCUGGACCAAUACUGACGCUCAUGCACGAAAGCGUGGGGAGCAAACAGG